AUGCAUGCUGGCUAUAAUUUAUGAAACGGAGCCCAGGAAACAACCAAUCAGUUAGCUCCUCCUAACAAGUCCAACUGGCUACGAAAAGCUGGAAGUGCGGCGCAGAACAAUGAAGAGGAGCUAUCCCACAUAUUAAUCUGCUUAUCUGGGAUUGCUUUCUGUGUGGAGAAGGAAACAUGAAACAAGGAGGGAAAAGGAAAAUCACAGCUCCACAGUUGAAAUAAACAGGAUAAAUUUCAAUCAACAGGCAAAUCCUCCAUUGUAUUCAGAUGCC
Non-coding RNA from Gallus gallus (chicken), 274 nucleotides. The record is from Rfam. Lineage: Eukaryota; Metazoa; Chordata; Aves; Galliformes; Phasianidae.